GCGGGCCCGGCGCUGGAGCGGGCGGCGUGGUCCGCCCGGGGAAGGGUAUUCUGUGUUCCUGACUUGCAUUUUGGUUUAUUCCGGUGCUCGAGGGCAGCCGUUGAUUGUGAAUGUUUUAGUAAUCCUAAAAUAGAACCGAGUAGUUCUGGGAGAGGGGUAUAAGGAGUUAGUGUUGAAUGGAUGCAGAGUUUCUUUUGGGGAAGAUGAACAAAUUCUGGAGAUGGAUGGUGGACACGGUGCGCAACAAUGUGAACGGGUUAAUGCCUCUGCGCUGCACGCUGAAAAACGGCUAACCUGGAAGAUUAGCCCUGAGCUAACUACUGCCAAUCCUCUUUUUGCUGAGGAAGACUGGCCCUGAGCUAACAUCCGUGCCCAUCUUCCUCUACUUCAUAUGUGGGACGCCUACCACAGCAUGGCUUGACAAGCAGUGCCAUGUCCACACCCGGGAUCCGAACCGGCAAACCCUGGGCUGCUGAGAAGUGCAAUGUGCGAACUUAACUGCUGCGCCACUGGGCCGGCCCUUGCCUUUCUUAUUUGAUGUUAUAUUUCAAGGAGCCUCCGGAGUAUAGCCACACAGCGCCCGUGACAGGCCGCCUCUGUGCAGUGUCUCCAGUGUCCUUCAGCAUCUCC
This 630-nucleotide long non-coding RNA is filed under the name Equus caballus (horse). RNAcentral's name for it is "lncRNA (ENSECAG00000047133.1)". Lineage: Eukaryota; Metazoa; Chordata; Mammalia; Perissodactyla; Equidae. The record is from RNAcentral.